This 1528-nucleotide ribosomal RNA is filed under the name metagenome. RNAcentral describes it as "bacterial LSU rRNA". It matches the Rfam family "Bacterial large subunit ribosomal RNA", at positions 1346 to 2910 of the family's 2925-position model. The record is from RNAcentral.
UAAGGUUUCCACGGCCAUGCUAAUCAGCCGUGGGUUAGUCGGGUCCUAAGGAAAACCCAAAGGGGGUAUCCGAUGGCAAAUUGGUUAAUAUUCCAAUACCUAUAUUAACUGCGAUGGGGUGACGAAGUAGUGGCAUAUCCGCGUACUGACGGAAUAGUACGUUAAAGGGUGUAGAUUAUGAUUUAGUUAAUAGCUAGAUUUUUCGAACCUGACAGUACCAUGAUCCUUCGGGUGAUUGGAUAGUGAUAGUAAUCAUACUUCCUAGAAAAACCUCUAAGCUUCAGGUUAAUAUAGCCCGUACCUCAAACCGACACAGGUAGUCAAGGAGAGAAUCCUGUGGUGCUCGAGUUAGUCGUGGCUAAGGAACUAGGCAAAUUUACCCCGUAACUUCGGGAUAAGGGGUCCCUACGCGAGUAGGGCGCAGAGAAAUGGCCCAUGCGACUGUUUAACAAAAACAUAUGGCUUUGCAAAAUUGAAAGAUGAAGUAUAAGGCCUGACACCUGCCCGGUGCCGGAAGGUUAAAAGGGGAUGUUAUCAGCAAUGAGAAGCAUUGAAUUGAAGCCCCGGUAAACGGCGGCCGUAACAAUAACGGUCCUAAGGUAGCGAAAUUCCUUGUCGGGUAAGUUCCGACCUGCACGAAUGGUGUAACGAUGUGGGCACUGUCUCAGCCACGCGCUCGGUGAAAUCGUAGUUCCGGUGAAGAUGCCGGAUACCCGCGACGGGACGGAAAGACCCCGUGCACCUUUACUAUAACUUCGUAUUGAUUCUGGUUAAGUGAUGUGUAGGAUAGGACGGAGACUAUGAAUCAUGUUCGCUAGGGCAUGUGGAGUCAUCCUUGAAAUACGUCCCUUUACUUAAUUGGAACCUAAUCCCUUCGGGGAGACAGUGUGUGGUGGGUAGUUUGACUGGGGUGGUCGCCUCCAAAAUCGUAACGGAGGCCUUCAAAGGUACCCUCAGCACGCUUGGUAACCGUGCGUGAGUGUAAUGGCAUAAGGGUGCUUGACUGUGAGACCGACGGGUCGAUCAGGUAGGAAACUAGGACAUAGUGAUCCGGUGGUUCCGUAUGGAAGGGCCAUCGCUCAAAGGAUAAAAGGUACGCCGGGGAUAACAGGCUGAUCGCUCCCAAGAGCUCACAUCGACGGAGCGGUUUGGCACCUCGAUGUCGGCUCGUCACAUCCUGGGGCUGGAGAAGGUCCCAAGGGUUGGGCUGUUCGCCCAUUAAAGUGGCACGCGAGCUGGGUUCAGAACGUCGUGAGACAGUUCGGUCACUAUCUGUCGUGGGCGUAGGAAACUUGAGAGGACCUGACAUUAGUACGAGAGGACCGUGUUGGACAAACCUCUAGUGUACCUGUUGUGGCGCCAGCUGCAUCGCAGGGUAGCUACGUUUGGACGAGAUAAGUGCUGAAAGCAUCUAAGCACGAAGCUCCCCUCAAGAUGAGGUUUCCAUUAAGGGUCGUUAUAGACUAUGACGUUGAUAGGCUGCAGGUGUAAAGGCAGUAAUGUCAAAGCCGAGCAGUACUAAUUACCC